AGCUUUGCGCAGUGGCAGUAUUGUAGCCAAUGAGGUUUACCGAGGCACGAUUAUUGCUAAUUGAAAACUUUUCCCAAAGAUUUAUUUAUGUAUUAGACAGAGAUCA
Molecule: small nuclear RNA, 106 nt
Filed under: Mustela putorius furo (domestic ferret)
Lineage: Eukaryota; Metazoa; Chordata; Mammalia; Carnivora; Mustelidae
Description: U4 spliceosomal RNA
Rfam family: U4 spliceosomal RNA
About the family: U4 small nuclear RNA (U4 snRNA) is a component of the major U2-dependent spliceosome. The structure of U4 snRNA from yeast and human has been reported.
Source: Rfam by way of RNAcentral